Molecule: long non-coding RNA, 1055 nt
Filed under: Coffea arabica (coffee)
Lineage: Eukaryota; Viridiplantae; Streptophyta; Magnoliopsida; Gentianales; Rubiaceae
Description: long non-coding RNA (CARA_LNC004030)
Source: RNAcentral
CGAUUCGAGAAAUGGAGAAAGAGUAAUUAAUAUGCAAGUAAGGGACCAAGACCUAAUAGCUUAACCUGUUGAAUCAGAAUUGGGUUCCUGACUUACAUAUUGGACUCUUUGAUGGACUCUCUCGAGGUAUUCUCCCCUAACAAAUUGAUAUCAGAGCUUCAAGUUACAAAAACUGGGCUAUUCAUGGGCAAAUAGAUUCUUCUCGGAGUUGGAUCGGUGAAAAUUCGUCAAGGGUUGGCAGGGGUCUAGAAUGCAGUUUGAAUAUUGAAAAAGAGUGGGUUCAUGAUUGAAAGAAGAGAUGACCUUAAGUGAUAUGGUGGGCUUGCAUUGGUUGUGUCCCACGUCGGUCCGAAAAAUGAAGAAAGAGUAGUUAAUAUACAAGUAAGACCCGAGAAAUGAAGAGAGAGUAGUUAAUAUGCAAGUAAGACCACAAGACCUAAUAAAUAGCUUAAACUUUUGGAUCAGAAUUAAAUUCCUGACUUACAUAUUAAUUCCUGACUUACAUAUUAGGCUUUUUGGUGAACUCUCUCGAGUCGAGGUGUUCUCCCCUAACAUUAGCAACAUGUAUGUAUACACAGGGGACUCGACAGAAAGAUGUCCCAUAAAUGCUGGUGGUGGGGCGGUUUAAUUUGUUGUGAGGCGGGUGCAACUUGUUGGGCUGGCACGAACACGAAGAAGAAGAAAGAAGAAGAAAGCUGAUGAGGCCGAUUUAUAAUCGAUCUGUGGUUGGUUCAUUCAUUUCAGGCGAUACAUGCACAAAGAAAGAAAGUGAAAAUCGUCGCUUGGCUCAUGACUGCCACACAAAUCCCAUUCAUGCGAAGCUUUCGGUCUUCAACAUCAAAAGUGAGAACAAAGACCUUUUGUAAUUUUGACUGAAAUACUCCUACCCACUGCCAGUUUGCUUCCUCUAAUUCCCGUGAUGAUACUCGUUUUAUGUCCGCAUCAGGCGCAGCAGAGAUUGCUGAAAAUAAAAAUAGUAUAAAAAUUUUUAUGGAGUCCAAGUUUGGCACGUACGGAGUGUGAUUGCACUUUUCCUUAUGGUCUCAUCCUGAUUC